This 497-nucleotide ribosomal RNA is filed under the name uncultured bacterium. RNAcentral describes it as "partial 16S ribosomal RNA". It matches the Rfam family "Bacterial small subunit ribosomal RNA", at positions 28 to 507 of the family's 1533-position model. The record is from RNAcentral.
GAUGAACGCUGGCGGCGUGCCUAAUACAUGCAAGUCGAGCGAACAGACGAGGAGCUUGCUCCUCUGACGUUAGCGGCGGACGGGUGAGUAACACGUGGAUAACCUACCUAUAAGACUGGGAUAACUUCGGGAAACCGGAGCUAAUACCGGAGAAUAUAUUGAACCGCAUGGUUCAAUAGUGAAAGACGGUUUUGCUGUCACUUAUAGAUGGAUCCGCGCCGCAUUAGGUAGUUGGUAAGGUAACGGCUUACCAAGGCAACGAUGCGUAGCCGACCGGAGAGGGUGAUCGGCGACACUGGAGCUGGACCAGCGUCCAGAGUCCUACGAGAGGCAGCAGUAGGGAACGUUCGGCAGUGGUCGAGAGCCUGGCGGAGCAGCGGCACGUGUGAUAUGGAAAUCUUCGGAUCGUGAAACUCUGUUACGGGGGAAAAACAAAUGUGUCAGUAGCUAUAGCGGUCUUGACGGUACCUAAUCAGAAAGCCCCGGCUAACUACGUG